RNAcentral lists this long non-coding RNA (764 nucleotides) under Homo sapiens (human). RNAcentral describes it as "HSALNT0355224". The record is from RNAcentral. Lineage: Eukaryota; Metazoa; Chordata; Mammalia; Primates; Hominidae.
GGAGAACAAAGGAAGGAGGAAGUAACUUGUGGAGUGCUGAGAAAGGUGAUCAGAAGAGCCAUCACUGAAGAUGACAACUGAGCAAAGACCCAAAGGAGGUGAAGAGUGAACUACGGAGGAAGCACCUUCCUGGCAGAGAACAGCAAGUGCAAAGGCCCUGGGCAGGGAGGAUGACUGGGGAUCAUUCAAGCAAGAGCAAAGAGGCCAAUGUGGAAGGAACAGAGUCAGCAAGAAGGAGUGUAAAAGGAGGUGCUCGUGACGACGACUGGGAGCAGAGCACGAGGCUGGAGAGAGCACCCCUCAAUACCGGACUCGGUACUGUUUGUGUUGGCAAAGUCACUUAAAUGCCCUUCUAUGACAAGCUGGCAGAGCUGCUUGCCGCACUAGGGAAGGAGGAGGAAAUGACAGCAGAGGAGCUUCAUCCAGACAGAAAGAUGUAGAAGGGUCCAGCCCUUCCCUCACAUCAGGGUGCAAAGAGUAGGAGGCAGUCAAACAUGUAUCAUCACUUCCCUGCCCGCAAAUUCCGAGGAAGAGGUGAUGUACCAGUCAGGAGACAGAAACCACACCAGUCAUUUCAAUAGGGAAAAUUUAAUAAAAGAAUUAUUAACAAAAAGUAGAUACUGCUAAGAGAGCGUUCUGUGUUUUCUGAGAUUCUGUAUUCAUCUAUUUGGCAUCCAUUAGUCUAAUCACAGGGUCAAACUCACACACAGCCAAAGCUGUUUCCGUCUCCCCUGCCACCCAGAGCCCAUUCUCUGAACCACCUC